GUCGGGUUCGGGAUGAAGUGAUUGACCUUCUCGCCCAUCACCGCCAGCGUCCGCUUGCCGUUCGUGACCAUCUGCACGCCGCGGGUGCGGAACUCCUU
This 98-nucleotide small RNA is filed under the name Nocardia nova SH22a. RNAcentral describes it as "Mycobacterium sRNA Ms_AS-1". It matches the Rfam family "Mycobacterium sRNA Ms_AS-1". The record is from Rfam by way of RNAcentral. Lineage: Bacteria; Bacillati; Actinomycetota; Actinomycetes; Mycobacteriales; Nocardiaceae.